Molecule: microRNA, 22 nt
Filed under: Chrysemys picta bellii (western painted turtle)
Lineage: Eukaryota; Metazoa; Chordata; Testudines; Emydidae
Also listed under: 1 other name
Description: Cpi-Mir-1677-o6_3p (mature (guide))
Source: RNAcentral
CUGACUUCAGUGGGCUUUGGUU